Oncorhynchus tshawytscha (Chinook salmon) is the source of this 738-nucleotide long non-coding RNA. The record is from Ensembl. NCBI's taxonomy places the organism in Eukaryota, Metazoa, Chordata, Actinopteri, Salmoniformes, Salmonidae.
GCCGGUGCUAGUCCUUGAUGGAGGUGUUAGUGCCGGGGAUAGUCCUUGAUGGAGGUGUUAGUGCCGGGGCUAGUCCUUGAUGGAGGUGGUGGUGCCGGGGAUAGUCCUUGAUGGAGGUGUUAGUGCCGGGGCUAGUCCUUGAUGGAGGUGGUGGUGCCGGGGCUAGUCCUUGAUGGAGGUGUUAGUGCCGGGGCUAGUCCUUGAUGGAGGUGGUGGUGCCGGGGCUAGUCCUUGAUGGAGGUGUUAGUGCCGGGGAUAGUCCUUGAUGGAGGUGUUAGUGCCGGGGCUAGUCCUUGAUGGAGGUGGUGGUGCCCGGGCUAGUCCUUGAUGGAGGUGCUAGUGCCGGGGAUAGUCCUUGAUGGAGGUGUUAGUGCCGGGGAUAGUCCUUGAUGGAGGUGUUAGUGCCGGGGAUAGUCCUUGAUGGAGAUGUUAGUGCCGGGGCUAGUCCUUGAUGGAGGUGGUUGUGCUGGGGCUAGUCCUUGAUGGAGAUGGUGGUGCCGGUGCUAGUCCUUGAUGGAGGUGGUGGUGCUGGGGCUAGUCCUUGAUAGAGGUGGUGGUGCCGGUGCUAGUCCUUGAUGGAGGUGCCGGUGCUAGUCCUUGAUGGAGGUGUUAGUGCCGGGGCUAGUCCUUGAUGGAGGUGGUGGUGCCUGUGCUAGUCCUUGAUGGAGGUGUUAGUGCUGGUGCUAGUCCUUGAUGGAGGUGCCGGUACUAGUCCUUGAUGGAGGUGCCGGUGCUAGU